UACGAAGGGGGCUAGCGUUGUUCGGAAUUACUGGGCGUAAAGCGCAUGCAGGCGGAUCGUUAAGUCGGGGGUGAAAUCCCAGGGCUCAACCCUGGAACUGCCUUCGAUACUGGCGAUCUUGAGUCCGGGAGAGGUGAGUGGAACUCCGAGUGUAGAGGUGAAAUUCGUAGAUAUUCGGAAGAACACCAGUGGCGAAGGCGGCUCACUGGCCCGGUACUGACGCUGAGAUGCGAAAGCGUGGGGAGCAAACAGG
Molecule: ribosomal RNA, 253 nt
Filed under: uncultured bacterium
Lineage: Bacteria
Description: partial 16S ribosomal RNA
Rfam family: Bacterial small subunit ribosomal RNA
Source: RNAcentral